UAGGAUGAAAAUCCGUUGGUUUCACGGGACCGUGAGGGUUCGAAUCCCUCUAUCCCCAGC
Molecule: transfer RNA, 60 nt
Filed under: Lepisorus mucronatus
Lineage: Eukaryota; Viridiplantae; Streptophyta; Polypodiopsida; Polypodiales; Polypodiaceae
Also listed under: 2 other names
Description: partial tRNA-Leu
Source: RNAcentral